UUCAGAGACUAAGCGAAAGUGAUAAGUUAGCCACCUGGGGAGUACGUUCGCAAGAAUGAAACUCAAAGGAAUUGACGGGGGCCCGCACAAGCGGUGGAUUAUGUGGUUUAAUUCGAUGAUACGCGAGGAACCUUACCAAGGCUUAAAUGGGAAUUGACAGGCGCAGAAAUGUGCUUUUCUUCGGACAAUUUUCAAGGUGCUGCAUGGUUGUCGUCAGCUCGUGCCGUGAGGUGUUAGGUUAAGUCCUGCAACGAGCGCAACCCCUGUCACUAGUUGCCAUCAUUGAGUUGGGGACUCUAGUGAGACUGCCUACGCAAGUAGAGAGGAAGGUGGGGAUGACGUCAAAUCAUCACGGCCCUUACGCCUUGGGCCACACACGUAAUACAAUGGCCGGUACAGAGGGCAGCUACACAGCGAUGUGAUGCAAAUCUCGAAAGCCGGUCUCAGUUCGGAUUGGAGUCUGCAACUCGACUCUAUGAAGCUGGAAUCGCUAGUAAUCGCGCAUCAGCCAUGGCGCGGUGAAUACGUUCCCGGGCAUGUACACACCGCCC
Molecule: ribosomal RNA, 551 nt
Filed under: Chryseobacterium sp. N-24-25-7
Lineage: Bacteria; Pseudomonadati; Bacteroidota; Flavobacteriia; Flavobacteriales; Weeksellaceae
Description: bacterial SSU rRNA
Rfam family: Bacterial small subunit ribosomal RNA
Source: RNAcentral